GCAGUGAGGAAUAUUGGUCAAUGGGCGCAAGCCUGAACCAGCCAUGCCGCGUGCAGGAUGAAGCAUCUAUGGUGUGUAAACUGCUUUUAUACAGGAAGAAACAACUCUACGUGUAGAGUCUUGACGGUACUGUAGGAAUAAGGAUCGGCUAACUCCGUGCCAGCAGCCGCGGUAAUACGGAGGAUCCAAGCGUUAUCCGGAAUCAUUGGGUUUAAAGGGUCCGUAGGCGGCCCUGUAAGUCAGUGGUGAAAUCUCCCCGCUCAACGGGGAAACGGCCAUUGAUACUGCAGGGCUUGAAUUAUUGGGAAGUAACUAGAAUAUGUAGUGUAGCGGUGAAAUGCUUAGAUAUUACAUGGAAUACCGAUUGCGAAGGCAGGUUACUACCAAUACAUUGACGCUGAUGGACGAAAGCGUGGGUAGCGAACAGGAUUAGA
Molecule: ribosomal RNA, 434 nt
Filed under: uncultured bacterium
Lineage: Bacteria
Description: bacterial SSU rRNA
Rfam family: Bacterial small subunit ribosomal RNA
Source: RNAcentral